GUGGGUCACUGUGGACUCGGCCUGAAGAGGGUAUAUAAGUACCGUUCCUUCUUCCGCCCUUGAUGCCACUCUACUCCUCACUGCUGUGCUGUGGACUGUUUCUCCUCUGUGACGCCCUUCUGCUGUGCUCCCCUGCAUUGGAGCCAGCUGACUACGGACUGAAACCUCUGCAACUAUUUCUGGUUGCUCCAGCCCCAUCUUUGAAAUGGCCAUGCUCUCCCCAUUGAAUUGCCUCUGUACCUUUGUUAAGAUUGAGUUGACUGUAUCUGUAUCUGUGUGAUCUAUUUCUCGACUUUGUAUUCUACAUGAUUUCUCUGUCCAUUCAUCUUUAUGACAGGCACUACACAGUCUUGAUUACUGUGUCUUUCUGUUUUAGAAGCAGCUCAUCAGAGUCUACAAAAUACCUUCUGUGUGGUUUUGCUUGGGACUGCCUUGAAUCUAUAGAGGAAUUUGGGAGAAAUCAGCGACAAUAUGGAACCUUCCAAUCCAUGAAUAUUCCAUUUCCCAAUUGUUUGUUGCUGG
Heterocephalus glaber (naked mole-rat) is the source of this 522-nucleotide long non-coding RNA. The record is from Ensembl. NCBI's taxonomy places the organism in Eukaryota, Metazoa, Chordata, Mammalia, Rodentia, Bathyergidae.